Herpailurus yagouaroundi (jaguarundi) is the source of this 126-nucleotide long non-coding RNA. RefSeq lists it as uncharacterized. Lineage: Eukaryota; Metazoa; Chordata; Mammalia; Carnivora; Felidae. The record is from RefSeq and is a predicted model, not a curated record. The transcript has 3 exons.
CCCUGUGCUUCAUUUUCACAGGCAGGAAUGUUGCCUCCUGCUCAUGGCUGCGACUUCCCUGGCCCUGCCUUGGCAUUUUCCCACACCCGCAGGUCCACGAGCGUUCCUUCCAGAUCAGAAGAGCAC